UUUUGACAUGGCUGUAACCAUGGGUGAUUUUAGUUUGCUUUUUGUGCAGCUGCCAGAUCUAUCCGCACCAGCAGUAGGAGGUUUGUUCUCACAACAUAAUUGAGCAGCUCUGGAACCAGGGAGGUCCCAGCUGCCUCCUCUGGCAGUGCUGCGGGCACGGACCACUGUGCAGAUGGAAAUGACCCUGGGAACCAGCUCUAUUCUGUUGAAUAGAAGCUCCUCAGACAGACCUGGAAGGAGAAGGGACAAUGAAACUGAUACUUCUGUCUGAAUUCAGUGGCCACCUCCACAGAAAAAAGCACAGAGCCUGGGAAGAUACGUACACAUCGGAGGAGAGACAGCUCAUCCUGGGCAGCCUCAGCAAAGCCUUCCCUGCUCUUCAGGACCUUCACAGCUACAUUCUUCUUCUUUCUACAAAAGGAACCACAGCUCUACAUCAUACACAACCCACUGACUUGCUGCAGGCCUGGACCAGGUCAGAGAACUUCAGCCCAAAAAUGUACCGGCCCCUAGUAGCUACAGCAGGGAGCAGUGGUGCUUCACCUCGCCUGCACAACUCUACCUGCACGAAACAUGCAAGGAGCUGCCCAACCACUUGCCAUGCACCCCAGCACCUGGACUCGUGGAGUUGGAAUAUUCAGCAGAGUGAUACAUGCCUUCAUCCAGCACAGACCUGGUAAGUCCUGGCUGAGUGUAGCAUCCCUGCAAGUCGCAACACACAGCAUAAAAGCAGCCCCAUGGGCACGUGGGGGGCUCAGCCUCUGCAGCCCUGCGCACUUACCAUGCAGCUCAGGAAGCAGGGGAUGCCACUCCUCUCAUCAUCUGGCUCGUGCUGGAAGCUCCCAAAAGUGAGAUACCAGCUGGUCCUGCUCUCCUUUUAGUCUGCACUGCUUGGGAGGGUUGUCCUUGGGCCAACCAAACUUUUCUGCAACACUGGAUAGAUGUGUUGAGGAGCAACGUAUCAGAUCUCAGCACCGUUUCUGGGAACAACCUUGGCUGCAGGGUAGCAGGAGACCCAGGACAGCUGCGAUGAGUUUCCUUUCCUGCCUCAGCUGCCCUGGCAGCAGGUCUGUCACCCUGCUGGAGCUCCACGAUCUUUGCAGCAACUAUUUAUAGAGGAAAAUCCACCACUCUGCUGAGAUGGAAAUAGGAAAGCCUUCCCUCUCUGCAGUGGUUCCCACUGCUCCCAGGAGCAUGGCAGCAGGCUGUGUGGCCCAGCCUUGUGGCAGUGGCACCACCUCCCGUCUCUGCACGGCACAGCGGUCACCAGCCUGUGUGUGGCUCCCCAAGCCAUGCUACUGUACUGAAGGCAUCUCUGCCUCAGCACCCUGAGACACACUGGCCCUCCAGAUAUAGGGACAAGGCAGCGCAGUUCUGCACAGAUGUGCUGGCAGCACUUUCACUUAGCUGCUUGCAGGUUUUAGUGCAGUAACAGCUGUGCCCCCCCCCACCUCCACCCAGGCAGAAGGAAUGGGAAAGGGCUGCAGCCUCACUGUGAGCCUAGGCACCUAGUAUCCCUGCACCACUGUGGAGCAAAGGACCACACGCAGCGAAACCACUUGAUACAUUCCCCCCUACGCCCACGUGCAGCAGAGCUUGGCAGCCUCAGCCUUCCCCUGGCUGGGGGCCCUGGUGUUGUGCAGCUCAGGUUUCCUUGCAGAGCCUGCAGAGACCCAGCCCUGGAGCAAGGGGUUAAUCCUGCCCUGCUGCCAGAACCCAGGCCAGGGCCUCACUUCUCCCCCUGCCUGUGCCCCUCUCCUCUCACCUGCCGCCCCCAGCACUAAAAAUAUCGGGGGAGGGGGCUGAGACAGAGCCAGGAGCAGGGCAGCAGCAAGGGAGGGAGCUCAGCUUCACAGGAGGAGAGCUCUGUAACCCAUAAAAGGCCAGGAAGAACACACACAUAGGUGAAGGCGGGACUUAAGCACAGUGGCGUUUUACGUUGUAG
Molecule: long non-coding RNA, 1945 nt
Filed under: Gallus gallus (chicken)
Lineage: Eukaryota; Metazoa; Chordata; Aves; Galliformes; Phasianidae
Description: long non-coding RNA NONGGAT002195
Source: RNAcentral